AAAGUCGUAACAAGGUCUCCGUUGGUGAACCAGCGGAGGGAUCAUUGCUGGAACGCGCUUCGGCGCACCCAGAAACCCUUUGUGAACUUAUACCUAUUGUUGCCUCGGCGUAGGCCGGCCUCUUCUGGAGGCCCCUUGGAAACGAGGAGCAGCCCGCCGGCGGCCAACCAAACUCUUGUUUCUUAGUGAAUCUCUGAGUAAAAAACAUAAAUGAAUCAAAACUUUCAACAACGGAUCUCUUGGUUCUG
Molecule: unclassified non-coding RNA, 248 nt
Filed under: Ascomycota sp.
Lineage: Eukaryota; Fungi; Ascomycota
Description: partial contains small subunit ribosomal RNA, internal transcribed spacer 1, and 5.8S ribosomal RNA
Rfam family: Eukaryotic small subunit ribosomal RNA (bases 1-47)
Source: RNAcentral